Molecule: non-coding RNA, 1048 nt
Organism: Lactuca sativa (garden lettuce)
Lineage: Eukaryota; Viridiplantae; Streptophyta; Magnoliopsida; Asterales; Asteraceae
Source: RefSeq, a predicted model, not a curated record
AGUAGCCCAUAUGAGCGCAUAUUCAAUUCAUCAUCGGUCAAAAGUAAAAAUUGCAAACUUAACAAAAUUGACCCAAAAGUCAAAAUUGCAAUUACGUUCCCUUUUGCGUGUACUUGUUUGCUUAUCACGAGAACGACGAAGCCUUCGCCUUCAGCCGACGACGCCUCCGCAUCCGCCUCUGGCCAACGACGCCUCUGCCUCCGGUCUUCGGUCGAAGACACAGACGAAGUCUCCUACUCCGCCCUGCAGCUGCUUCCGCCUCCUCCUUUCACGUUGUUUACAGGUUGAACAUCAUCAAUUCCAAUUGAGAAUCCACCGAGCACUGCAUCAAAAUAAUCUCAUCAUACACUUUCACCAAACAUUUAUUCAGAGCUCACAACUUCUCCUAUAGCAGCAGCCUCACUUGGGCAGGAACUUAGGAUUGGCUCUUCGACGUUUUCCUCAGGACCAAAAGAUUCAGAGACUAUUCCAAUCUCAUACGUAUAUAAUCCUUUUAGUGCAAUCAACAAUUGUCUGAUUGGAGUGUGGUUACUACGUUAUGAACUGGAUGCAUGAGUUUGUACUUUUUCGACAACAUGGAUUUCCGAAUAACAUUUGGAAGGACAAAAAACCAUUUUCUAGUGAGGAAUUGGAUGAACGUGUUAAAACAUGGAUGAGAACUUUUGGAGAUAAAGUGAAGUCUUUUUCAAGUUAACGGUUAGUUGUUCUAUAUACAUUGUUAUAAUUGGUUAUGUUUUUCAAAAAACCAUUUUCUAGUGAGGAAUUGGACGAAAGUUUUUUUUAUGGAAAAUGUGAUAUAUAAAAGUAGGAUGCUAUAUUUUGUGUUUUAUUGUGGAAGUUUGCAGAUUUCGAGUUAAGGAGGUUGCUGUUAUGGAGGCAUACACUGAAUUAGCCACAAAGGGGAAAGAGAGGUCAGAUGUGUGACAUUAACAAAUUUAAGAAUGUUUUUAUGUUUAAUGAACUAGGUAUACAACUUUUAGAUUGUAUAGAUUGUAGUAUGAAAGAAUAUUAAUGUUUUUAUGUUUAAUGAACUAAAUAGUUAUUGUAA